Molecule: ribosomal RNA, 253 nt
Filed under: uncultured bacterium
Lineage: Bacteria
Description: partial 16S ribosomal RNA
Rfam family: Bacterial small subunit ribosomal RNA
Source: RNAcentral
UACGGAGGGGGCAAGCGUUAUUCGGAAUUAUUGGGCGUAAAGGGCGCGUAGGCGGCUUGACAAGUCAGAGGUGAAAUCCCUCGGCUCAACUGAGGAACUGCCUUUGAAACUGUCUGGCUUGAGGCCGGGAGAGGGUAGCGGAAUUCCCAGUGUAGCGGUGAAAUGCGUAGAUAUUGGGAGGAACACCAGUGGCGAAGGCGGCUACCUGGACCGGUUCUGACGCUGAGGCGCGAAAGCGUGGGUAGCAAACAGG